AUCAUUGGGCGUAAAGCGCCUGUAGGUUGUUUAAUAAGUCUGUUGUUAAAGACUAGGGCUUAACCCUAGAAAAGCAAUGGAAACUACUAGACUAGAGUAUGGCAGGGGUAGAGGGAAUUUCUAGUGUAGCGGUGAAAUGCGUAGAUAUUAGAAAGAACACCGGUGGCGAAAGCGCUCUACUGGACCAUUACUGACACUCAGAGGCGAAAGCUAGGGUAGCAAAAGGGAUUAGAUACCCCUGUAGUCCUAGCCGUAAACGAUGGAUACUAGAUGUUGUGCUUCCUGUACAGUAUCGUAGCUAACGCGUUAAGUAUCCCGCCUGGGGAGUACGCUCGCAAGGGUGAAACUCAAAGGAAUUGACGGGGGCCCGCACAAGCGGUGGAGCAUGUGGUUUAAUUCGAUGCAACGCGAAGAACCUUACCAGGACUUGACAUACUACGAAUUCUUUUGAGAAAAAGAAGUGCCUUCGGGAAUGUAGAUACAGGUGGUGCAUGGCUGUCGUCAGCUCGUGUCGUGAGAUGUUGGGUUAAGUCCCGCAACGAGCGCAACCCUUAUUUUUAGUUACUAAUUCGUUAGGUUCUCUAGAAAGACUGCCGGUGACAAACCGGAGGAAGGUGAGGAUGACGUCAAGUCAGCAUGCCCCUUAUGUCCUGGGCUACACACGUGCUACAAUGGUUAAGACAAAGAGUCGCGAGCUCGCGAGAGUCAGCUAAUCUCAUAAACUUAGCCUAAGUUCAGAUUGUAGGCUGCAACU
This 754-nucleotide ribosomal RNA is filed under the name uncultured marine haptophyte. RNAcentral's name for it is "bacterial SSU rRNA". It matches the Rfam family "Bacterial small subunit ribosomal RNA", at positions 550 to 1312 of the family's 1533-position model. The record is from RNAcentral. Lineage: Eukaryota; Haptophyta.